RNAcentral lists this long non-coding RNA (526 nucleotides) under Salvia miltiorrhiza (redroot sage). RNAcentral describes it as "long non-coding RNA (SMIL_LNC005043)". Lineage: Eukaryota; Viridiplantae; Streptophyta; Magnoliopsida; Lamiales; Lamiaceae. The record is from RNAcentral.
GGUUUGAAUUCAAUCACUUAAGGUGGGGUUUACUUUUAUCUGUAAGCGUAGUUGUUACAUGGUUAUAAUCAUUGUUGUGUUGUGCGUCAUUCAUAUGAACUAAUGGGACCCACAAGGGGUCGGAUCCACAAGGGAUCAAAGAGCUGAACGGCCCACAAGGGGUCAGGUCCACAAGGGACCGAGACUAGUCUCACAAGAUGUCAGCUAAGUGAAAAAUUAUAAGAGUUCAACAUGUUAUGAUUCAUUACACAAUUGGUUAUAACUGCUUGCAGUGUUUACCCCACUGAGUGUGCUUGCACACUCAUACCCUAUUAUUUAUGAUUCUUUUCAGGUUAAGGAGUUGACGGCAAGACGGCAGACAUGAGCUCCACAUUCUCCCGUUCUAUUAUAUGAUGAAGUAUUAUAUGUUGCUGUUUUUGGUAAAUAUAUCUUGCUACUAACCAACUUAGCCUCUUCCAAUUUUGGUGGGUCGAGACUUUAUAUAUAUUGGUUUAUGAUCAUGCAUUUUGAUGACGGCUGUGACCGA